GAGUGGCGGACGGGUGAGUAAUGUCUGGGAAACUGCCUGAUGGAGGGGGAUAACUACUGGAAACGGUAGCUAAUACCGCAUAACGUCGCAAGACCAAAGAGGGGGACCUUCGGGCCUCUUGCCAUCGGAUGUGCCCAGAUGGGAUUAGCUUGUUGGUGGGGUAACGGCUCACCAAGGCGACGAUCCCUAGCUGGUCUGAGAGGAUGACCAGCCACACUGGAACUGAGACACGGUCCAGACUCCUACGGGAGGCAGCAGUGGGGAAUAUUGCACAAUGGGCGCAAGCCUGAUGCAGCCAUGCCGCGUGUAUGAAGAAGGCCUUCGGGUUGUAAAGUACUUUCAGCGGGGAGGAAGGGAGUAAAGUUAAUACCUUUGCUCAUUGACGUUACCCGCAGAAGAAGCACCGGCUAACUCCGUGCCAGCAGCCGCGGUAAUACGGAGGGUGCAAGCGCUAAUCGGAAUUACUGGGCGUAAAGCGCACGCAGGCGGUUUGUUAAGUCAGAUGUGAAAUCCCCGGGCUCAACCUGGGAACUGCAUCUGAUACUGGCAAGCUUGAGUCUCGUAGAGGGGGGUAGAAUUCCAGGUGUAGCGGUGAAAUGCGUAGAGAUCUGGAGGAAUACCGGUGGCGAAGGCGGCCCCCUGGACGAAGACUGACGCUCAGGUGCGAAAGCGUGGGGAGCAAACAGGAUUAGAUACCCUGGUAGUCCACGCCGUAAACGAUGUCGACUUGGAGGUUGUGCCCUUGAGGCGUGGCU
This 755-nucleotide ribosomal RNA is filed under the name uncultured bacterium. RNAcentral's name for it is "bacterial SSU rRNA". It matches the Rfam family "Bacterial small subunit ribosomal RNA", at positions 93 to 844 of the family's 1533-position model. The record is from RNAcentral.